AAACCGCCCAGAGGUAAACGGGUGGAUCCGCAAAGUCGGCCCGCGGAAUUCAGCGCGUGCGGUGGGUCUUCGCUCGCCCGGGUGCCGGGGAUCUUCGGACCCUGCCCUGGGCCUGCAUGGCCUCCGCCGCGUGCACUUUCCGCGGGCAGAGCGCUACGACCGGUUUCGCGGUGGCGACAAGCCCGAUCGGUAGCGUGGCACGAUCUCACGGUCGUGCUUCGGCCGGUCGAGGUGAGCCGCUGUCGGGACCGAGGAACGGCCGCACGCUUCGAGGCUGCCCGGCCUCGCGGGGGAGUUCGACUGGCAGGGACUGGGCAACCGUGCCUGCCGACCGCUCCUCCGUGUCGGAUCGGGGCCAGCCGGGCGUGUCAGGGGGUCGGUGGCGAGUCUGUCGGCAUUCCACCCGACCCGUCUUGAAACACGGACCAAGGAGUCUAACAUGCGCGCGAGUCAUUGGGCGGUACGAAACCCAAAGGCGCAGUGAAAGCAAGGGUCGCCUCGGGCUGACCCAGGUGGGAUCCCCGCCUGCUAUCGCAGCAGGAAGCGGGGCGCACCACCGGCCCGUCCCGUCUGCGUCGUCAGUGGGGCGGAGCUAGAGCGUGCACGCUGGGACCCGAAAGAUGGUGAACUAUGCCUGAGUAGAACGAAGCCAGAGGAAACUCUGGUGGAAGUCCGUAGCGAUUCUGACGUGCAAAUCGAUCGUCAAACUUGGGUAUAGGGGCGAAAGACUAAUCGAACCAUUUAGUAGCUGGUUUCCUU
RNAcentral lists this ribosomal RNA (759 nucleotides) under Lanx patelloides. Its description in RNAcentral is "eukaryotic LSU rRNA". The stretch from base 425 to 759 matches the Rfam family "Eukaryotic large subunit ribosomal RNA", at positions 665 to 961 of the family's 3401-position model. Lineage: Eukaryota; Metazoa; Mollusca; Gastropoda; Lymnaeidae. The record is from RNAcentral.